UUUGUGUGCAGUUGGUAGGUUCUUAUCCUUCUAUUACCGAUGUACAAGUUAUUGCCCCGAGUUUACAAGUGUUCCAUUUUGUUCACUAUAAUAGCAGCAACCUUGCAGUUAAUAUGGACAUCCGUGCUUGUAAAAUGUUGCGGGAAUUUCACUUGGAAUGUCCCACAUUUCCGGUUGGUUUUGAUCAUGAACACUUCAUUUCAGAUUUUCCUUAUCUUGAAA
Molecule: unclassified non-coding RNA, 222 nt
Filed under: Hevea brasiliensis (rubber tree)
Lineage: Eukaryota; Viridiplantae; Streptophyta; Magnoliopsida; Malpighiales; Euphorbiaceae
Source: RNAcentral